UAAUUUUUUUUUUUUUUAUUUUUUGGUAUUGCAUACCAUCUAGGGAGUAUAACAUUUUUUAUGUAGAAUAGAAAAGGAAGGUAGAAGGUUUAGGAGUUUAUUUGUUUCGUAAAUAAAAUUAUUUUUCUUUGGUGUUGAUAUGUCGACUUUCUUGUUAUCUGUUUGUUGUUGUUUACUAGAAAAUUGUAGAAUUGAUUUUGGUUUUGUGGAAGUUAAGAUUUUGUAGUGUUCUUAUUUUGUGUUUUACAACGUUUUCUUUUUUUGAACUGUAAUUUUUUGUUUUUUUAUUAAUUUUUUAAUAAAUUUAUGGUUUUGGGUUUAGUAGUUUUUUUUAAGUUUUGUUAGUUUUUUGAAUUUGUUUAUGUGAACUUGUUUUUUGGUCAAAUGUUUUUUAAAGACUUAGGUCUUUUUUUGAGACUGGCCUCUGCUCUAUGUUUUUAUAAAUGGCAGUCUUAGCGUGAGGACAUUAAGGUAGCAAAAUAAUUUGUGCUUUUAAUGGGUUCUGGUAUGAAAGGGGUUAGUGGCUGAUUUUUUACUUUUAUAUAUUUAUGAAUUAGUUUUGUGUUUAAGAAAUAAUAGGUAGUAUUGUACAAAGAUAAGUCUUCGGAAAUUUUUUUAUUGAGAAUUUUUUUAUUUUCUUGGUAUGUUUUCUAGGGUAGAAUGUUUUGUAAUUUUUUUUUCUAUUGAUAGGUAACAAAAUUACUCCGGAGUUAACAGAAAAUCAUACUUAAUUUAGUUCUUAUAAUAGUGGUAAGUUUUACAUCGAUGUUGUAUUCCGGUUCUUAGGGGGAGGAGAAGAUCUUGGGUUUUAGACUGUUCUUCUUUUAAUAAACCGGACGUGAUAUUAGUUUAAUUCAUCGUGAGAUAGAAUUGUUUAUCUUGACAAUAUUUUAGGUUUUGAAGCUGAAAGUACGAAAGGAAAUUUGUUAAGGUUUGAGAACCUUUUGAAAAGGGGGGACUUUUU
This 964-nucleotide ribosomal RNA is filed under the name Baylisascaris transfuga (bear roundworm). RNAcentral's name for it is "16S ribosomal RNA". Lineage: Eukaryota; Metazoa; Nematoda; Chromadorea; Rhabditida; Ascarididae. The record is from RNAcentral.